Long non-coding RNA from Phacochoerus africanus (Common warthog), 2592 nucleotides. RefSeq lists it as uncharacterized. The transcript is spliced from 3 exons. The record is from RefSeq and is a predicted model, not a curated record. NCBI's taxonomy places the organism in Eukaryota, Metazoa, Chordata, Mammalia, Artiodactyla, Suidae.
UUCUACGCGUCUUCUUGUGAGCAUGGAUGGUCUGAGUUGUUCUUUUUUGGUUUUGUUUUGGAUUUUUUGGUUUUGAUGGGUUUUGCUUUUGCCGUUCAGAUUUUGGAUGGCAGUUUCUCAUUAGCUUCCCUUAUCCACAGGCUGGCAGUGGCUCCUAUUAAUAUUUAUUAAAAGCGGCAAGAUCAUUGAGGUCUCUGGAGUGAAAUCACAGCCAGGUUUUAUGGAAACAGAUCCGAAAAGCUGAGGACUGAUGUGAAAAUGUCUGAAAUGGAUGAUUUCGGAAGCAUGUUCACAUUCCUAAAAAGUGUCUUCCCUUCGAUUGUGUUUCCUCACUGACUCUCAGCUAGUAAUCCCAGUGUCUUUAUGUUUGCCAGUUUCUUAAAUGAGCGGUGUGGAGGAGAAUAGACCAUCCUCCAAAAGUCUAACUCUGCACACAUGCAAAUCUGACACAUGCAAGUGGCCAAAAUAAGCUUCUCCUGAUGAGACAAGUGAAUAUGAGCUGCUUAAAAUAUCUCCUUGUUAAUGGCCCUACUAUUUUUAGAAAGGGCAGGAAGGCAUAAAGAUGAAGAUGAUCUUCCCACUCACUAACGUCAGGUCAGAGAGUAAUUCAGCUGUCUCAAAAAUAAAGUGUUUGAAUAGCUAUGCGUAACCCAUGACCUUCAGCCAGGCGGUAACUGAUUCAGUAGAAUGCUAUAGAUAGACAUGAUGAACACAUCUGAAAUAAGGAUAUUAACACAACUUGUUUAUGUCAGUUUUUGGAGAGAGAAUCAUUCCCAGGCAUGUUUGGUGUGAAGCUGUGUGACGUGUUAGCUAUUCCAUCAUCAUCAAACACAAAUUCAGACACCCGACGCGGGAAAAAUGAGAAAUGGCUUUCUAAGCUCUUUCCUUCAAUGGCACUGGUCUCCACCUGGCAUUACCUAAUGGAAGAGAUACUUGACUAAAAAGGGCUGGGAGUUCAGAAAGAGGACAAUGGAAGAUCAUUCCAAGAAGACAGCAGGGUUCAAGGAGACAGAUGUGACUCAAGUGUGUGCCCGCAGAGAAGAGGCUGUCCCCACAGGUCAUUUGUGUAGCACCUCUGCACUUACUGAGUUUAUAUCCACAUCGGUUUUCAGAGUCAUUUAUAGGAGUAUCAGUUACUAAUUUGACCAAUUCCAAUACCACAGAAUUAUUAUCCUAAAUUCAGCCUUCUUUUUGUGAUUGUAAUACAUAAGACAGUUAUAAAAUUAGCCUAAUUCUGCUCAAUCAACAUUUGAUUCUUUACUACAGGAUAGACAUGGGCGAGGUGCCAGAAGAAAAGAAAAUAUUCAAAAUGAAUGAAAUGUGGUUCCUGUAGUGAUGGCAAGCAGUAUAAAUGACCAGUUAUAUGACCUAAAAAAACAAAAACAAAAACAAAAAAACCUAAAAAAAAAAAAAAGUAAAAUGUAAGCAGCAGCACUCAGAGUGGGAUGCAACACUUUCUGCCUUUGAAAACCACAUAGGAAAUAACUGGCCCAGGAGUGUGGCUGGACCACAUAGGGGCCACACCCUAGGAGAGCCUGAACACAAGACUCAGGCUUCUGGACUUUGUUCUGCAGUUUAGAGGAAUCGCUGCCACUUAAAAAAAAAAAAAUCUGGUUACUGGAAGGGAUCCCAGGAAAAUGGAGUUUGUUUUGCUUAUCAGUUUACAAAAACAUGUGAUUCGGGAUACAUGACAUGAAGAGGACCUUCAACAUUUAAAUUUUCUCUCCAAGGAGUUUAUUAAAUUAUUUUAGGAAAGUGACUAGGAAAUGUAUGUUUAUCUCAGUUCCCUCAUCCCUUUUCAUUUGCAAUAUUUUUAAGACUUAUGGCAUUGUUUGCUCUUGAAGGAUAAUCCUAAACAUGCCCAGUAUUUCAAUGCAAAGAGGGUCAGAGGAGCAAUUUCUUUGGGCCCUGAGUAUCCACAUAUAAAUUCACUUGGGUGAUCAAACAAAAAAAUAACAAGAGGGUGAAUGUUUUUCAGCCAAUUGUUGGUUAUGUAACACUUUGUUAGCCAGUAGGUGUUAUUUGGGUUCUUCCCAGUUUUAUCUCUUUCCCUUUAGCAGGUCACUUGAGGAAUCAUGCUGUUGAUUAGGAAAAAUGCUAAUCAUGAUGUAGAAAAAAUAGUUUAAUAGUUCAUUAGCAAGCCUGGAAAAUUAACCUUUUGGGGGAGAGUAAAUUAAUAUGUAGAGUAACGUAUUGAGGUGUUUACUUUCCACCUCACUGGUAAUGCCUGGUCCUAUUCUAGAUUAUCAGGAAAGACAUUUUAGACUCAAAGGAUUAUUGAACACUCAUGCAGGCAGUUUGUAAUCUGAAGGAAAACACAGUAUAAUUACAUUUUCUAAUUGGCCAAAUCAUUGUCAUUCUUUUCAGUUAAUUUCUUUAUUUUAUUUUCCCAUGACUUUUCCAAUUCUCAUAAGCUUGUAAAUGGGUUGCACAUGGCUAAUUAAAGCCUCCAUGCUCAAAAUCUAUUCAUAAGAGUAUGUAAAUGUUUGAUGAGCCACUUACUUCUAGUAUGAACACAGGAAAAAAGAUUCCUCAUAGAAAAGCUCACUAUGGAAAAAAAGCCCUCAAGUGGUCAUGCUUCUUUCUUUUUCC